RNAcentral lists this ribosomal RNA (409 nucleotides) under uncultured Nitrososphaerota archaeon. Its description in RNAcentral is "bacterial SSU rRNA". It matches the Rfam family "Archaeal small subunit ribosomal RNA", at positions 452 to 861 of the family's 1478-position model. Lineage: Archaea; Thermoproteati; Nitrososphaerota. The record is from RNAcentral.
CUGGUGUCAGCCGCCGCGGUAAUACCACCACCCCGAGUGGACGGGACGUUUAUUGGGCCUAAAGCAUCCGUAGCCGGUUCUACAAGUCUUCCGUUAAAUCCACCUGCUUAACGGAUGGGCUGCGGAAGAUACUAUAGAGCUAGGACGCGGGAGAGGCAAGCGGUACUCGAUGGGUAGGGGUAAAAUCCGCUGAUCCAUUGAAGACCACCAGUGGAGAAGGCGGCUUGCCACAACCCGCUCGACGGUGAGGGAUGAAAGCUGGGGGAGCAAACCGGAUUAGAUACCCGGGUAGUCCCAGCUGUAAACGAUACAGACUCGGUGAUGAGUUGGCUUAUUGCUAACUCAUUGCCGCAGGGAAGCCGUUAAGUUUGCCGCCUGGGGAGUACGGUCGCAAGACUGAAACUUAAAG